CCCUAAGUUCAGGGUUCUUUCAUUGUUAUACAACCCAUGGUGUGCAGGUGUCACCUGGCCCUCUUUGCUUUGCCCUGUGGGUUUUGAGGAACCAACACGAAAAAUGCUGAUACACAGUGAGGAAUAAGUUCUCAUGAGGCCAGAAGUCCUGUGUCUUUUGAAGAUAUCCAAGAGACUGGCUGGCUACCUUGUCAGUUUGCAGAUAGGGCUUUCUCAGACCCUUCACAGUUCUUGAUAAUGUUUCCCUUUGUAAUUAGUAAGUAAUCUAUGGGUGAUACAUUGGCACUGUGUGAAUAUCUUGUUUCUCUACAACACUUUACCUAAUGGUUUUAGAUUCCAUAUAUAAUCUUUGCCUGAAUCAACAAGUUUAUUGGAGGUAGCAAAAUGGUGAUUUUCUGUUUCUAUUAUUCUUUCCACAUUUAUUAACUGCAUUCUUCCGUAGAGCUUCCCCUCAUCCACUGGCGAUGAACUACAGUUCCUUACAAAAAGAGUCACAGGUGGUCAUUUUAGAUCACAGAUCCCAGAGGGACAAAAAGCCCUACCACCCUCAGCAUGUGGUUGAGCAGAGUAUCUGGUGCUUCAUAGAUCCUGGCUUGGGUGACUUGAACAGAGUUCAGAACAACUUUAGAGCAAGCUCAGAAAUGGCAAGGUUAGAAGCAGAUUUGCCGUGAUUUUACUUAUAAGUAACAAGGAAAAAAACGCUUUACUCCUGAUAAAUGGAAGGCACCAGCUUGUCUAUAGGAAUAAGAAAGGAAACUGAUGACAUGAUUUGCUAAAUCCAAAUCCUUUUAGUAAAAUGGGGGCUGGAAAAUGGAAAAGCCUGCCUAGAUGUCACCGUAAUGUUUGGUUAUGCUCAGACUAGGUGCUCUCUAAAUACCCGUUGAAUGAGUGUUGAAUGAUUCCAGUUACUCCCCUGGGUAUGGCUUUAAUGAGCUCCUAGGAGAAGCUAGCCAUACCCCUUAACAGUGCCUGACAGCUGCAAG
RNAcentral lists this long non-coding RNA (983 nucleotides) under Equus asinus (donkey). RNAcentral describes it as "lncRNA (ENSEASG00005033691.1)". The record is from RNAcentral. Lineage: Eukaryota; Metazoa; Chordata; Mammalia; Perissodactyla; Equidae.